Molecule: long non-coding RNA, 1211 nt
Organism: Panicum hallii
Lineage: Eukaryota; Viridiplantae; Streptophyta; Magnoliopsida; Poales; Poaceae
Exons: 6
Source: RefSeq, a predicted model, not a curated record
UCCCUUCCGCCAUCCCCGCCCGAGAUUUCAGCAACAAAACAUCAAUCGACAUUCCUUCUUCUACUCCCGAGCGUGCUCCGCCGCCCAGCCGCGCUGUACUAGCUUCCUACGCGCGCUCGGCGUCCCCGACCAACAAGCGAGCGGGCCAGGUGUGUGCGAUGCAGCGCCGACGCGAGGAGGCAUGACGUAGCGGUGAGCACGGAGGCCGCUAUGCCCGCGCCAGCUUUCCUUUGCAUCCAGGUGCUCGCGCUGCUUCCUCCCUCGUGUGGGCUGCCCCGCCGUCUCCUUGCCCUCCCACACGGCGGCGACCUUGGCGGCCUCAUUCCGGGAAAGGUGUGGUGAUUCCUUUCCAUUCCUAUUGCCCCCCAGCCCCUAAUCCUCUGCUGCGGCACGCGUUUGGGGCAGCAACAUUUUUUUGCAGGCGGUGGGGGAGUGGGGGAGUGCAGUUCGUCCUCCUCAUCCACGGCGGCGUCCCGCCUCCGAGGCCUCAUCUAUUUCCGUGGACCCAUCCUCCCUGUGGAGCCAUGGCCCAUGGGGCGCGCUGACGAUCGCCGCCUUCGCCAUGUCCCUGCUGCAGCAGUAAGCCGUGCUCAAGAGUUUUAGUCGGGACUUUCUCGCCAGUUUGCUUGGUGAUUGGAUCUGGGAAAGAACAAAGGCAUUGUUAGCACUGGAUUUCGGUAACUGCAUUUGGGCAUCUAGGAAACAGUAACGCAUUCAGAUUGCAUUGCAGAGGGAACGGGCAUAUUGCAAUAAUCAGCUAGCCUGUUUGAGGCUCCAAAAUUGCCAACAAUUUGGUUGGGAAACGGGGGCUGGCCAAUUUCAGAACAUUCACUUACAACAACCAAUGCCAAUAGAAGGCUGGUUUUGAUUUAGUUAGCUGCACAAUCAAGAACCAAGGUUGCCCAAUUCAAAAACAGAACUUCAUGGGAACCCCAUUAGAGAUCAUUGCUUUCAGAUGUAUCAUCGGAUGGUAAGCUAUGGAUACGUUGGACAUCAUCAACAGAAUGAAUGUGUUAGUGUCACCGACGCGCCCAAGGCAGAGGGAAUUCAAAAAUCAAAUGGUAUGGUCUUUGGGUGUAAAAUGAGAUACCGACCUUGUAACUGAAUUUCUAUGUAAUUGGUAAUUGGUUGAGAGUUUUAAAAAGAGAUUCUAUUUGGUUGGUUCUGCCUAUAUUUUACGAAAGAAAUAACAAUGAGAUAAUUCAGUGAAA